CCGAUAGGCGUAGGCGAUGGACAAGGAGUUGAUAUUCUCCUACCGGCGAAGAACCGCCCAUACCGAACCCGGUGAUGCUAAGCGCCCUUAACCCGCACCGUCUCCUUCGGGAGACAUCGCGGGAGCGGCGCGCGACCCGAACCGGUACUAGGUAAGCGUAUUAACAGGGGUGACGCAGGAAGGUAGCCCAGCACGGCGAUGGUUGACCGUGUCCAAGGUUGUAGGGCGAACAGUAGGCAAAUCCGCUGUUCACAUAGCCUGAGAACUGAUAGAUAGCGCGUAUGCGCGAAUUGGGUGAUCCUAUGCUGCCAAGAAAAGCCUCGGCGCGAGGUUCUAGCCGCCCGUACCCCAAACCGACACUGG
Molecule: ribosomal RNA, 363 nt
Filed under: Oerskovia turbata
Lineage: Bacteria; Bacillati; Actinomycetota; Actinomycetes; Micrococcales; Cellulomonadaceae
Description: bacterial LSU rRNA
Rfam family: Bacterial large subunit ribosomal RNA
Source: RNAcentral